This 484-nucleotide ribosomal RNA is filed under the name uncultured bacterium. RNAcentral's name for it is "partial 16S ribosomal RNA". It matches the Rfam family "Bacterial small subunit ribosomal RNA", at positions 30 to 507 of the family's 1533-position model. The record is from RNAcentral.
AUUGAACGCUGGCGGCAGGCCUAACACAUGCAAGUCGAGCGGAUGGAGGGAGCUUGCUCCUGGAUUCAGCGGCGGACGGGUGAGUAAUGCCUAGGAAUCUGCCUGGUAGUGGGGGAUAACGUCCGGAAACGGGCGCUAAUACCGCAUACGUCCUGAGGGAGAAAGUGGGGGAUCUUCGGACCUCACGCUAUCAGAUGAGCCUAGGUCGGGUUAGCUAGUUGGUGGGGUAAAGGCCUACCAAGGCGACGAUCCGUAACUGGUCUGAGAGGAUGAUCAGUCACACUGGAACUGAGACACGGUCCAGACUCCUACGGGAGGCAGCAGUGGGGAAUAUUGGACAAUGGGCGAAAGCCUGAUCCAGCCAUGCCGCGUGUGUGAAGAAGGUCUUCGGAUUGUAAAGCACUUUAAGUUGGGAGGAAGGGCAGUAAGUUAAUACCUUGCUGUUUUGACGUUACCAACAGAAUAAGCACCGGCUAACUUCGUG